GACUGUUGAGACCCUGUUACUCCGUUUUGGAAAGAGCAUCCUGAGGCUGGAACCAUGUACCUGCCUAGCCCGGGUUAACAUCAUUCACAAGACAGACCUUGAGGUCAUCUGUGUGGACUGUAUGUUAUCUGCAUACACUAAAAACACUUUCUUCUCUGAGCAAAAGCAAUAGUUAGGUUUUGGUCUCUAGGCCCUGUAUCUAGAGGGAUCCCAUCUCCUGGAAGGAAGGAAGUACCAGCCAAAUCGUUGAAGAAAGAAAGAAAAAGGAAGAACCAAAUUGUGGAUGGCUCCUGUGUGUGGCUGCAUGAUACAUCUCAGUGGACAUGGGCCCGCCUUUAAGACACAAGGCUCACAGUAAACUAAGAUUUGGGCAGCUAUUCCUUCUAAACCAUGUAUAAAGAAACUCCUGAGAAGUUGAGUCUAUACCACUCACCGAGACUGUUUCCAAUCUACGUACGGAAUCAUUUAACAAAGUAUAUAAAGUUUAUGUCCACCUAGACUUUAUGUUCUUCAGUCCAUGACCGUGAGGGGCCAUAACAAUAAAAUCCCUUCUUGAGUG
Molecule: long non-coding RNA, 559 nt
Filed under: Mus musculus (house mouse)
Lineage: Eukaryota; Metazoa; Chordata; Mammalia; Rodentia; Muridae
Description: predicted gene 43079
Source: RNAcentral